Sphaeramia orbicularis (orbiculate cardinalfish) is the source of this 110-nucleotide long non-coding RNA. RefSeq lists it as uncharacterized. The record is from RefSeq and is a predicted model, not a curated record. The transcript is spliced from 3 exons. Lineage: Eukaryota; Metazoa; Chordata; Actinopteri; Kurtiformes; Apogonidae.
UUAGUUUCUCUAACUGCAGUUUCUUUUACCGCUCCCCCGUACGUCAUCAGCCUGAUUUGAAUAAAUUCCCCUGAACUUUGGGGUGUAAUGGAAACGCAAAGCACACAGAU